GACGAACGCUGGCGGCGUGCUUAACACAUGCAAGUCGAACGGAAAGGCCCCUUUGGGGGUACUCGAGUGGCGAACGGGUGAGUAACACGUGAGUAACCUGCCCUUGACUUCGGGAUAACUUCAGGAAACUGGGGCUAAUACCGGAUAGGAAUCCUUGCUGCAUGGUGGGGGUUGGAAAGCUUCGGCGGUUUUGGAUGGACUCGCGGCUUAUCAGCUUGUUGGUGGGGUAGUGGCUUACCAAGGCUUUGACGGGUAGCCGGCCUGGGAGGGCGACCGGCCACAUUGGGACUGAGAUACGGCCCAGACUCCUACGGGAGGCAGCAGUGGGGAAUAUUGCACAAUGGGCGGAAGCCUGAUGCAGCAACGCCGCGUGCGGGAUGACGGGCUUCGGGUUGGAAACCGCUUUCAGCAGGGGCGAAGCUUGUGGUGACGGUACCUGCAGAAGAAGCACCGGCUAACUACGUG
RNAcentral lists this ribosomal RNA (465 nucleotides) under uncultured bacterium. Its description in RNAcentral is "partial 16S ribosomal RNA". It matches the Rfam family "Bacterial small subunit ribosomal RNA", at positions 28 to 507 of the family's 1533-position model. The record is from RNAcentral.